Molecule: transfer RNA, 73 nt
Filed under: bacterium ADurb.Bin236
Lineage: Bacteria
Description: tRNA-Gln
Rfam family: tRNA
About the family: Transfer RNA (tRNA) molecules are approximately 80 nucleotides in length. Their secondary structure includes four short double-helical elements and three loops (D, anti-codon, and T loops).
Source: RNAcentral
UUGGGGCGUAGCCAAGCGGCAAGGCACCGGGCUUUGGUCCCGGCAUCGUAGGUUCGAAUCCUGCCGCCCCAGU